CAGUGUUGUUGCAGAUGUAAUAAAAAUGAGGUUAUAAUACAUUAGAGUAAGCCCUUAACUCAAAACGAUUGAUGCCCUUAUAAGAAGAUGACCAUGCGAAGACACAGACACACAGAGAAAACACCAUGUGGUGACUGAAGCAGAGAUUGGUGUAAUGCAGCUACAAAUCAACAAGCAACUAUGAUUGAUGGCCACCACCAGAGGCUAGGAAGAGGAGAGAAAAAUAUAUAUAUCUCAGGAAAGAAAAAAUCCAGCACCUACGGCAUAAUGUUAGGAGAGAACGCGCCAACAAAAUCUAACUUCCACAAUAAAUCUGUUCUGUCAGCUCCUUGACAGGCAUGUUUAUGUUGACCUCUUUCUGUUUGAAGAGAGAGGAAAGAAACUGGUGUUGAUCAAAGGUUACAGCAGAAUAAAAAAUAUACUGGGACACGAAAUUGUGACAUGUAUUUCCCCCACCAGUCAGGACUCUAUGUUCAAUAUUUUUAUUUCAUUAUGCUUACAAAAGCAAAUGAAUGUCUCUUUAUAUUUCCUUAAGAAUGAAAAGAUGAAUGUUUCUUUCUUUGCAAGUUCCAUGGAAGCUAGCAACAUUAAUACUAUAAACAUUUUAAUACUUGAUAAUGGUUAUGUCUUCAAAAUGCAAAACGUUUUAUUCUGACAAAUAAAAACUCUAAAAAAA
Long non-coding RNA from Mandrillus leucophaeus (drill), 676 nucleotides. RefSeq lists it as uncharacterized. The transcript has 2 exons. NCBI's taxonomy places the organism in Eukaryota, Metazoa, Chordata, Mammalia, Primates, Cercopithecidae. The record is from RefSeq and is a predicted model, not a curated record.